GAUGAAGGCUGGCGGCGUGCCUAAUACAUGCCAGUCGAGCGAACGGACGAGAAGCUUGCUUCUCUGAUGUUAGCGGCGGACGGGUGAGUAACACGUGGAUAACCUACCUAUAAGACUGGGAUAACUUCGGGAAACCGGAGCUAAUACCGGAUGAUAUUUUGAACCGCAUGGUUCAAAAGUGAAAGACGGUCUUGCUGUCACUUAUAGAUGGAUCCGCGCUGCAUUAGCUAGUUGGUAAGGUAACGGCUUACCAAGGCAACGAUGCAUAGCCGACCUGAGAGGGUGAUCGGCCACACUGGAACUGAGACACGGUCCAGACUCCUACGGGAGGCAGCAGUAGGGAAUCUUCCGCAAUGGGCGAGAGCCUGACGGAGCAACGCCGCGUGAGUGAUGAAGGUCUUCGGAUCGUAAAACUCUGUUAUUAGGGAAGAACAUAUGUGUAAGUAACUGUGCACAUCUUGACGGUACCUAAUCAGAAAGCCACGGCUAACUACGUG
Molecule: ribosomal RNA, 497 nt
Filed under: uncultured bacterium
Lineage: Bacteria
Description: partial 16S ribosomal RNA
Rfam family: Bacterial small subunit ribosomal RNA
Source: RNAcentral